RNA transcript from Anguilla rostrata (American eel), 4493 nucleotides. It is a transcript of the gene named prostaglandin reductase 3-like, with no coding region annotated. The transcript has 6 exons. The record is from RefSeq and is a predicted model, not a curated record. Lineage: Eukaryota; Metazoa; Chordata; Actinopteri; Anguilliformes; Anguillidae.
CUAAGCCAAGAACAAUACUUUCUCUUGCAUUUGUGGAGUCCCAUAUCCAGCCUUUUUUGAAGGAUGUUGGAAACUACAGAUUGAUUUGUUUCACCUUACUAGGAAGUGAACACUUCGCACAGGAAAGGGAGGGACUCCGUAGAGCAAGCCCGCUGUGAAGGUUGUACAGCCUUUACUCGUUUAAUGCCAAUACACGCUUAUAUUAAAUAACCGUAUUUAAACAAUAGGUUACGUUUCCGACAAUAGGCAACUGAGCAUGAGAAACAAUGUUUCAGUUUAAACAAAGUAUUUAAGUUAGCCUAGGUGUUACAAGAGCUAGCAAAAUAUAAUCAACGCACGACGAGUGUUCGUGAACUUUGUCUUCUUUCACCCCUCUUGCAAUGUCCACUACACUCUUAGCCAUGAACUGUAGGAAGGUGUUUCUAACGCUCGGCGGGGGACGCGGUGUGACAAACGCUGCGUUCGGAUCGCAUUUUGUUUCCGUCCCACGCCGUUCCAUAAUAGACCUCUCCUACUCCACCCACUUCAUGGAUUUUAAAGGUUCCUCGAUACCUAGCUCCAUGAAAAAGCUGGUCGUGACGAAGCUCAGCCAAAAUUUCAGGGAAGCUGUUUCCUUGCAAAUUGUUCCAGUGCCGACUCCGGGCGAUGGGGACUUGCUUAUUAGAAAUCGAUUUGUUGGCAUCAAUGCGUCUGAUAUCAAUUACACAGCCGGUCGCUAUGACCCCUCAGUCAAGCCACCUUUUGACGCAGGGUUCGAGGGCAUCGGGGAGGUCGUCGGCCUGGGCCUGAGCGCCAGCGCCCGCUUCACGGUGGGCGACGCCGUGGCCUACUUCGGCAGCGGGUCGUUCGCCGAGUACACGGUGGUGCCCGCCAAAGCGAUCGUCCGCGUGCCGUCGGUCAAGCCGCAGUUCCUCACGCUCCUGGUGAGCGGCGCCACGGCCUACAUCGCCCUGAAGAGGCUGGGCGACCUGGCGGAGGGCCAGACCGUCCUGGUGACGGCGGCGGCGGGCGGCACCGGCCAGUUCGCCGUCCAGUUCGCCAAGAUGGCCAAGUGCCACGUGGUGGGCACGUGCUCCUCGGACGAGAAGUCCGGCUUCCUGAAGACCAUCGGCUGCGACCGGCCCAUCAACUACAGGAGCGAGGACCUGGCCGGGGUCCUGCAGCGGGAGUACCCGCGGGGGCUGGACGUCGUCUACGAGUCGGUCGGGGGCAGCGUCUUCGAUCUGGCCGUCAACCGCCUGGCCCAGAAGGGUCGGCUGAUCGUCAUCGGCUUCAUCUCGGGGUACCAGACGGCCUCCGGGGUCCAGCCGGUGAAGGCCGGGACGCUGCCCAUCAAGCUGCUGCAGAGGUCGGCCAGCGUGCGCGGCUUCUUCCUCCCGCACUUCCUGUCGGACUACGGGGAGGCCAUGGCGGACAUGCUGCGAAUGUGCGAGAGCGGGGAGCUGGUGUGUGAGGUGGACGUGGGGGAGAUGACUCCGGAGGGGCGCUUUGUGGGGCUGGAGUCGGUUUACCGGGCCGUUGACCACAUGUACGCAGCAUCCAGUGUCUUUCUGCAUAGAUCCCUCAGUCUGGGAGUGGCUGGACGGAGCGAAGGAUGGAGUCACGGUUCGGGCGUCCACCAGGCAAAGAUGUAGAAGCCCCGGCUCCCCUUGAGUGAUGGGCAGUUCCCCCCCAACCUCUGCGCCGCUGGAGUCCAUCUCCUUCCCCUCGGCAGAUGCCAUCGCGGCCAAGGACACGGGGCGUCAGCGACCGUCCGGGAGACCCCGUUCAUCAGGGCGUAUCGAAUGUUUAUAUGACCUUGUUAAGGCAUUCAGACUGCUGCCAAAUAACUGAGAGUCCAAGUACUGAAGCUAGGAGUAGUGUGGUACUGUGACCGUGGAAAAGAGAUUGCCGUCCAAAGUUUCAGGUAUGAUUCAUCCGUAGAGUCCUGUCAUUAUGCCCUUGAGUAUAGCACUUAAUCCUAAUAGCCCCAAUUUAUAUAUUGCUAUGUAUAUGGGUAAUAUGUAUAAAUAUAAGGAUAGGUGUUCCUACGAAGCAAAAAAUGUAAACUAAUAAUGUAGUAAUGAUGAACCUACUGUGAUGGAUCCCCUGGAUGCUUGGCUGUUGGAUUGUCAGAGAGAUUCUUGUCACUAGUCAGUUGUCAGUUCCUUUCUGCGAGGCAAAACUGAAGUUGCACAUCUGUCUCUUAGUUUUUAAAUUUAUCAAACAAGCAGUGUUCAUGCUGGCCACAUCAUGUAGUAGAAGCAGAGACCCCUGAGGUAUUUAAAAUGAGACUUGACAUAGUGUUAGAUGCUUUUCACAGCAGGUAAAAUGACAAGGCUAGAUGGGCUGAAUGGUGUUUUCAUCAUCAAGCAUAAUACAGUGCCCUCAAAAAGGAUUAACUCUCUUAAUAAAGAUGGAUAAACAUGGCUGUAUAAAAUAAACAAUAUUGGUAUUGAAAUAUAUAUGUUCACGAAAUGGAAAAAUUAUAUUAUUUUUUAUACAAGUACAAUUGCUCUGAGAAUCUACUGCAUUUACUGAUCCUAGGGCUCUUGUUCCGGUCAAAUGAGUCAUAAUCUUGCAAGAUUCAGGAGAUUUUGGCCUAUUAUUUGGUAAUAAGAAAGCUCAAACCUGGCCGCAAAUGGGUCUUUCAGUAAGACAGUGAUCUCAGACAUUCUUCAGACUCAACCAGGAAAUGGUUAACUCUCCACAAAAUUAUUUGUUCCACAAAAGCUCUUUAGCUCUUAGCAAUGGUAUUACAUUAAAAUGUAAAUUUUCAAAAUUGGUAUUGUUUGUUUUAUUUAACAUUCUUUAUCAAGGGUGCGAAUGAUUUUGGAGGGAAAUAUAUUAAGAAAUCUUGAGUAUUUUAUUUCUUUUCAUCAAUUUGAGGAACGCUAAUAAUCUGAAUAUAGUGACUGUCAAUCACCUGUUGAAAAGUAUGAAUUUUGUGUUCUACCAUACAUGUAAAUGGAAAUGAUUUGAUUUCCUGUUCAUGGUAAAGAUGUUUAUUUGUGUACAACUGAUAUCAAGUGACCAUUAUACAUGUUAAAUAAACUACCCUCAUGGAAGAUUAGACCUAAAAUGUCCAGUGACAGUCAACACCAAAUAAAUAAUAUUUGAAAAAUGUAAAAUGUUGAUUUAUUUUAUUUAUUUCUUUUUUAACCAAAUUUCAGGGCAGCAGCACUGUCUGUUACAGAGUCUGGACAACAGGAAAAUGGAUCCUGGAAGGAAGUUUGAACUGCUGUUGUACCCUUGAGUAAGGAUGUGGGCGGGAGUGGACGAGACGGAAUUAAUUGAGCGGGAGUUUAGCCGUCUGACGUGAGACGUCGGGAGCUUUCUCGGCCCGGGACGGAGACAGGUGAUUGGGCAACAUACGGAGCGCUUGGAGGGAGGUACGUGACAUCUGUCAGAAUGGGAGAAUAAAUGCGGACCCUCUCCGGCCCGGGGUCAGAUCUCCCGCCGCAGUCGCUAAAGUUGUCACGACGCCAUGACACUUCUUUGGCAAUGGUGGCCAAUUCCUCGACACGCAAACGUAAACGAACACAGAUUGUUGAAUAAACGGCUCUAAAAAAAGGGAUUAUUGUUUUUUUUUUUGUUUUUUUUUUUCACCCCCCUCCCCCAAGAGUCACCCCACCCGAAGAAGCGACAGUGGCUGUAGAGGAAACGUCAGGAUGCUGGAAGGUCAGGUGACAUGGCAAGGUCGAGAGCGAGAAAAAGUGCAAAAAGGAAAAAGCGCACACACAUAAAAUAAGAAAAAAAAUCAUUUGAAAUGUGACGCUUUGCCGUUUGUCCUUCCACCCCCCGUUGGUCGUGUCUCAUCACGGGAAAAGCAGAGUUAGGUCAAGAGCUCAGCAUUGUGUGAAUGUGUGAAUUCACAAGGAAUGAAACAAGGAUAGGCUGCUGUUUUCUGUUUGUGGGUUGUUGCAAACAUAUUCAUUCUUUUUGAAGAAAUCUUUUAAUUGAAUGUAGUUAAACGUGUGACCUCCAUGUAACAAUUUGUGCAUUAGAUCUUAUAGCCUAGGCCUACUAUUUGCCCAUGACUCGCUGCUAAUAGGCAUUUUGUAUUGGUUGUCAUUAAAAAUAUUCAAAGAGAAAUAUAUUUAGAUUAGGUUUGAGCGUUUAUUAAAAAUCUCAUUGCCUAGGAUUCACUGAAGAUAGACGACCCCAAACGAAAACAGUCUGAACGAAUCAGCCUAUCUAGGUCUGUUCUAAAUGAAAAGUGAACUGAAAGAGCUGCUGGCAUCACUGAACCAAUCGGUGAACAAACUAAAAGAACUAAAGGAACUAAUCAGUCAGCAAAUCGGAAGAACUUUUCAGUCAAAACGUUUGAAAAAAAGGGGAUGCAGUCUGUUUUGUCAAGAGCCUUAUUUCUGUAAUUUCAAUGUGUCGCUGGUGAACUUGUAAGCUACAAUGUGUGAAUAUAUUUUUUCUUUUAACAAAUGGAGACUAAACCGUGUCAAAGUAGGUAGAUGCAAAUGAGUGGGCCUAGGCCUAAUAAAUGUAUUAAUCAAUCA